This 58-nucleotide transfer RNA is filed under the name Oncorhynchus mykiss (rainbow trout). It matches the Rfam family "tRNA", at positions 8 to 63 of the family's 71-position model. From Rfam's summary of the family: Transfer RNA (tRNA) molecules are approximately 80 nucleotides in length. Their secondary structure includes four short double-helical elements and three loops (D, anti-codon, and T loops). RNAcentral also lists the same sequence under 3 other names. Lineage: Eukaryota; Metazoa; Chordata; Actinopteri; Salmoniformes; Salmonidae. The record is from Rfam by way of RNAcentral.
UAGUUCAGUUGGUAGAGCAUGGCGCUUGCAACACCAGGGUUGUGGGUUCGAUUCCUAU